This 680-nucleotide ribosomal RNA is filed under the name Streptomyces sp. I12A-01962. Its description in RNAcentral is "bacterial SSU rRNA". It matches the Rfam family "Bacterial small subunit ribosomal RNA", at positions 98 to 792 of the family's 1533-position model. Lineage: Bacteria; Bacillati; Actinomycetota; Actinomycetes; Kitasatosporales; Streptomycetaceae. The record is from RNAcentral.
GCGAACGGGUGAGUAACACGUGGGCAAUCUGCCCUUCACUCUGGGACAAGCCCUGGAAACGGGGUCUAAUACCGGAUGAUACUUCCACUCGCAUGGGUGGGGGUUGAAAGCUCCGGCGGUGAAGGAUGAGCCCGCGGCCUAUCAGCUUGUUGGUGAGGUAGUGGCUCACCAAGGCGACGACGGGUAGCCGGCCUGAGAGGGCGACCGGCCACACUGGGACUGAGACACGGCCCAGACUCCUACGGGAGGCAGCAGUGGGGAAUAUUGCACAAUGGGCGAAAGCCUGAUGCAGCGACGCCGCGUGAGGGAUGACGGCCUUCGGGUUGUAAACCUCUUUCAGCAGGGAAGAAGCGAAAGUGACGGUACCUGCAGAAGAAGCGCCGGCUAACUACGUGCCAGCAGCCGCGGUAAUACGUAGGGCGCAAGCGUUGUCCGGAAUUAUUGGGCGUAAAGAGCUCGUAGGCGGUCUGUCGCGUCGGAUGUGAAAGCCCGGGGCUUAACCCCGGGUCUGCAUUCGAUACGGGCAGACUAGAGUGUGGUAGGGGAGAUCGGAAUUCCUGGUGUAGCGGUGAAAUGCGCAGAUAUCAGGAGGAACACCGGUGGCGAAGGCGGAUCUCUGGGCCAUUACUGACGCUGAGGAGCGAAAGCGUGGGGAGCGAACAGGAUUAGAUACCCUGGUA